Molecule: long non-coding RNA, 378 nt
Filed under: Homo sapiens (human)
Lineage: Eukaryota; Metazoa; Chordata; Mammalia; Primates; Hominidae
Description: HSALNT0373031
Source: RNAcentral
CUACAAAGAGAACAUCAGAGCUUGCAAAAAUAUAGCUUAACUUAGGGUUUAUACACUAAAACAAAGAGAGGGGGGAGACAGGGUAACUUUAGUAUCCUGAGGGCCCUGCUGCUUUCCACUGCUGUGGUAUGAGACAGCAGCACCAGAAGGUAUCUGGGGGGAAAAAGAGGCCUAGUGAGCACAGUGAUCCCUGUUGGUGAUCAGUGGAAUGAUGAGUGCGUAGCAGGAGUUAAUUUGUCCAUGAGUAUACAGAGACUUGUAGAAAUAACACGGGAAGACAUAUUGCAGAGGACUGAAGAGGUCCUGGCUGAGCUGGUGUGGGCACAAACUAGUGAAAUUUGGUUUAUUGCUCUAGUAAUGACAGGGCAGGGAGUGGGG